AUGAUUUUAGCUAUUAAGAAAAGACGGGCCAAGCAGCAAGCCCAAUGCAUUAUUCUGGCCGCGUCUUUUUGAAAUAGUGCUACCAAUGCUAGAUUGGGCUCGAAACUGAGCCCAAGCGUGAAGCGAGGACUCAAAGACAAACUCAGGUCUUUGGUUUUUGACCAGGUUGUCUCGCUUGGGCUAAAUGUCAGGUCCAACUUUGAGAGGAAGGCCUUAAUAUACUGAGGCCUCAUUUGACCUUCAUAUUCCCUCCAAUACACCAAACAGCAAAUAUCAUAAUUCUGUAUAUCAACAUAAUGAAUAACUAUACUAUAAACUUAAUUUGUUGUAUUAACAUUCCGUGGUACUAGCUUGAACUAGUUUAAUUGAACAAAACAUUAAGCCUAGGAAAGGAAAUUUUAACUAAACUUCAACUUUGAAAUCAAUAGCAAUUACAUUAAAACUUCAUGUUGUAUUUACCGCAAUUAGGUAGAUAACCAUAUUAGUAAAUCCACCAGCUAUCUUCACUAAAUCUAAAACGACCAAUAAAAUUUACAUUUUUUAUCCAAGAUGGUAUAUAUUAUAGAUGCCAAAGGACAACAAUUGCGGAUUACCUUAAACUGAAAAUAUGCAUAUUUAACAUUGGAGGAUUUCAACUGAUUUAUUACAAUAACAUUCUAACUUCAAAGAGAAUACAACUCCCAUGAAAUUGGUAGCCUAGUGAACACUUGCCCCUUUUAGAUAUGAUCUAUCCACCAAAGCCUUAGUCCACCACAUGGAGGCCAUCAAUUUCAGCAUAGCAUUAAUAGUGGCAAGAUCCACAAAUGAUUAGCAACACAAACCCCCGAUGACAUCAAGUAAAUACCAUGUUAUUCAUCACACAUGCAGAAGAAUAAAAGAAAACUACAUCAGCUAUAAGUUCAGAAUCAGUGUUUGAUACUGUAAAAUUUUAACUAAAAGAAACAACUUCAAACAAACAAGACCACUAAAGUCAGCACUUCACAUCUUUAAGAGAAAAGCUACAAGUAUUAAUGUACCAACCAAGAUACUUACACUAGAUCAUUUCAACCUUAAACCCACAUGACAAAAGAUUAAUCAGAUCUAUAGCAGUAUAAUCAGUAACUAACAUGAAAUGAAACUCAUUUAUCACAAACAAGUAGACCAUAACUGUAGCUUUUGAUAUUAUAACAAUUAAAACAUAUAAUACAUUAAUAAGGAUGAAAUCAGUACCUUAAAACAGCAAAAACCAAAAGGAAAACAAAGUAAAAUUCUAGCUGGAACUAGAGAGGAAACAAUAGCAAGAAACAGAUCAGCACCACAGGAAAUCAGCCAAGAAACCAAAGAAACAAAAGCUUAUUUGAAUGCCCAGAAUUAGAGUAGAUAGUAUUAGGGUGAAGAAUUAGGAAUCUUUUUUUUUAAAAAAAAACUGAUGUUGAUAGCAAGAAAAUGCACGAACCUUUUCUUUUUUUCUCUUCUAUGUAUUCAGAGGAACUUUUAGGGUGAAUAUGCAAAUGAUAAUCUGUGUCUGAGAACGAGUGAAGGUCUAUCCUUUAUAUGGUAUAUAAAAAAUAGCAUCAAAAAGAAUAUUCUACCAUAAAUUCCCUAAAAGUCAGAUAGUACAGCAUAUUUGAACAGCCGUCUGUCCUUUUUAGCCCAAUUUCAGCAUUUUUCAUGCUAAAAAUGAGGAUAGUUAUACAAUGCUAGAACAUUAUGAUAUUUUACCCAUUUUUAAUUCUAGUUUUACUUUUUAAGUUUUGAUUAUUUCAAUUUAACCAAUCUGACCUAAAUUCUGAUUUCAAAACCUUUGUGGAACCUCCUAGAACAAUCUAGAAGAAUCUAGCAUUGAACUUCCUAAUAUUAUUUUCAAUUGUACCCUCUAAAAGCUUUGGUUAUCAUUUUUAUUUCUGAAAUUAAUUUAAACUUAAAGCAUCCGGAGUUUAAUCCAAAUAGCCUAACUAAUCAGUAAAUUAAAAUGCUUAUCUAAUUAACCCUAAAAAACUGAAUUUAAAGAGACCAUCCUAGUAGAAGCAGUAAUAGAACAUAAGAACCAAAAUAGAAACGAAACUUAAUAAUUAUCUAUAAUUGAUUAAAUUAAACAAACUAUAAAACUAAGUUAAUGUAUAACAACUAACCAUGCUCUGAAUAAUUUUAAUACUAGCCUAGCAGUGAACUAAUUAACUUAUAGACAAACGACUAAAGUAACCUAUGGGUAUACAUAUGCAAUAUUAGGAAACAAGAAUAAGCAUAAAGAAAACAAGGAAAAGGUCAGAAAAUAUAUCAAAAGAGGUUCUGGUAACUCAGGACUCCUUCGAAAUAGCUCCCAAAAAAUAUUAACCAAUCGUUCUUACUGUGAACGAUUGAUUAACAUAGGUUUGAACCUAAAUCGAGUCUGGAAAACCCCGAAGAAACUUGAAAAACGAGGGAAAAAACAAUUAGGAUUUCUGUUUUUCCUAAAUCUGGGAUUUGAGGAAAUUGAAUGGGAUCUUUUGGGAAAUCAAUGGUAGGAUAAUGGUGAGUGAAGGUUGAAGGUAGUUUGGUGUGAUUUUGGGAUUUUUCCAAACGGUUUAGGGUUUGGGGUAAAUUCUCAUAUUUGAAAUUGGAGGAUUUUGAUGGGGUUUUUGGUGAAACGGUUGGUGGACUAAGGUUUGAGGGAGGUUAAGGAUUAUCUGAUACAGUUGUUGGGGUAGUUUUGAAGCGGUCUGCCGUCGUAGGGCGAUUUCCAGGCGGCAAAAUAUAGUGGAGACAGUGAGGGGUGAGAGAGCAUCUAGGUUUUGGCCUUUAGGGUUGAGAGAGACGAAGAGUGAAGUGAGUUUUAGGGUUU
Molecule: long non-coding RNA, 2800 nt
Filed under: Nicotiana benthamiana
Lineage: Eukaryota; Viridiplantae; Streptophyta; Magnoliopsida; Solanales; Solanaceae
Description: long non-coding RNA (NBEN_LNC030817)
Source: RNAcentral